RNAcentral lists this ribosomal RNA (347 nucleotides) under uncultured bacterium. RNAcentral's name for it is "partial 16S ribosomal RNA". It matches the Rfam family "Bacterial small subunit ribosomal RNA", at positions 338 to 696 of the family's 1533-position model. The record is from RNAcentral.
CCUACGGGUGGCAGCAGUCGAGAAUCAUUCACAAUGGGGGAAACCCUGAUGGUGCGACGCCGCGUGGGGGAAUGAAGGUCUUCGGAUUGUAAACCCCUGUCAUGUGGGAGCAAAUUAAAAAGAUAGUACCACAAGAGGAAGAGAAGGCUAACUCUGUGCCAGCCGCCGAGGUAAUACAGAGGUCUCAAGCGUUGGUCGGAAUCACGGGGCGUAAAGCGUGCGUAGGCUGUUUCGUAAGUCGUAUGUGAAAGGGGCGGGCUCAACCCGCGUACUGCAAAUGAUACUGCGAGACUAGAGUAAUGGAGGGUGAACUGGAAGUCCCGGUGUAGCAGUGAAAUGCGUAGAUA